Molecule: transfer RNA, 71 nt
Filed under: Fukomys damarensis (Damara mole-rat)
Lineage: Eukaryota; Metazoa; Chordata; Mammalia; Rodentia; Bathyergidae
Rfam family: tRNA
About the family: Transfer RNA (tRNA) molecules are approximately 80 nucleotides in length.
Source: Rfam by way of RNAcentral
AGGGGUGCAGCUGAGGGGUAGAGAGCUUGCCUAGUAUGCAUGAGGCCCUGGGUUUGAUCCCAGCACCGCUA